UUCUCGUUAAACUUGUACAAAUGAAUACAGAGUACACAGUUAUUGGUGCUAUUUUCCAUAGCCUGUAUGAAUGACCUUGUGUGCAGGUACGUUGAGUUGAUACUGGCUAACUCCAAGUAUUGUGUUGUAGCAUGUUGGUGUGUGUCUGCCUGUGAGUGUGAGGAUGUCUUGAGUAACGCUCAUAAUGAGUUCAUAGACAUACCAAAAUGACAGCCUGCUAAUUUAAGAGACAGGACCAGUGCUUCAUUCUAAACUCAACAUAACUUUGUCAUUUGGCGUUUGCUUGCAGAACUGCCUACACCUCGGUAGUUGAUGCUCAACCGAACAAAGCAAAGGCACAUAUAUGCUUUGAAUUAUAAUCAGUACCGAAUUUUAAAUUCCCAUACAUCCUUCAGAAACAAAUUGGUUAUGCUUCUUUUGACAUGCAAUCAAUCACACUAAGUUCCAAAUGACAUCAGCGAGUGAGAUUUGGGGGGUAGGCAAGAAAUAGGAAGCCACCCUUUACACGGACUGAACAUAUUUCUAGCACACAUCUUUUGAAGACACAUUAUGACGCCAAUAAUAAUGUUGGGUAGAUAAAGCUGUUAAUCAUCCCCACCCUCAACCCCUCACCUCACAUUCUGUGGCUUCUCAAAUUAAAUAACUGCGUGGUCCAAUUAUGAUGUGUGAUGUUUAAAGGCCGCCACAGCAAAAAUAAGUCAUCUUUGAAUGAGGGGAGACAGCUCACAACGUGUGUUGUGCUCGAUCUUCUCAAGCAUCAGCAAUGGUAUUUUGAUAAGAGCACAGGGCCUCUGCCUCUAAACGAUCCUUGUAAUAUUGUUGCAAAAUGUAGACAUUUUGAGUGGCUGAACAGAUACCAUAUCGCUGCCGCGCUGCAGCACCAACAGGCUCUGGUUUGAUAUCACACUUUUGCAAUAUCUCUCUUCUGUAGGACAUUUUAACUUUUUUUCAGAUAUUAGCUGCCCCAGGUAUCUCGAAUACCUAAUUUGCCUUCGACUUAAAAAAUAAAAUCUUAUAAUCUACCCUUGUUCAAGACACCUUACAGCAAUAUGAGGAUUUAUUUUUCCCCUGCACAGCAUACUUCCAAAGAGAUAAUUCUGCCUUGUGCGAGGCAAAAAUGCUGUGAAGCUAUUGGAGCUCACGCAGAAAAACCAUGAAAGAACACUUGGGGGUAAUUCUUAAUCAAAUACUUACAAGUUUAGUUUACAUCUGUGAACAACACUAAACAUCACAGUAAGCAACCAAUAUAGCUUUGAGUUUGGGAAUCGGGUCCCAUGCAAUCAACCCAAUGCUGGUUUAGCAUCAUUUUCAGCUCUCGUCAGCUAACCAACAGCAUCUGCUCUUGCCACUUAGGAAAGCCUGAAUCUGUGUGAUGAGUUGACAGGAUGACUUCCAGCUUGAAAGCUGCGUUUCAUCUUAAGACAUAAAGCAAGCAACGUUAUGAGGGGAUUUAGUAAUGCUAACAGCGAUGUGGCUCUCGGGAAGGUGAUUUGUUGAAAACAAACACAUCCAAGAAGAAUGGAAGCAUAAAGUAUAUGAAACAUCUGAUGGUGAUUUCAGGAACAUUACAGAGAAAUACCUGGAGGAGAUAAAGUAAAGAAAAAUAGUUUUGAGUAGAGAAUCAACCUGGCUUUGGGGUGAAUGACCCUGUCAUCUACUGCCUACAUAGAUCCCUCUCCCACCUGGAAAAAGCCAGGAGCACUGUGAGAAUCUGAGAAUCCAUUAUUUCUCUGAGUUGUAGGGCACAGGAGUGGAUCUUGGUCUACCUCGCCAUACCGACCACGGUAUGUCAGGAUGUGGUUAUGUCGGUCCAAGCAUCGCAGCCUGUGGGCCCCAAAGUGAGGAGCUACGGUUUUGCGGACUGGGGCCAUCGGAUUCACCUCAAAACUCUGGUUGAACCCCUUCAAAGCGGCCACAGAAGUAGUCACUCCAGUCACCCGUGAUUAAGAGCCUUGCUCAAGGGCAACUUAACUAAAGGUGUCGGGGAAAGGUUUUGAAACCUCUCAGCCUUCAGAAGUGGUUGAGACGAGGGGGCUGCGCCAUCCGCCACAUCACCGAUGAAGGAUGAACCAUUGCUCGGGCUGGAUCCAAAGGCAGGAAGCAGUACGCACUGAUGGCAUAGAGUACAUCAUUCUGAAGUACGUUAGUCUG
This is a non-coding RNA of Gasterosteus aculeatus aculeatus (three-spined stickleback), 2151 nucleotides long. Lineage: Eukaryota; Metazoa; Chordata; Actinopteri; Perciformes; Gasterosteidae. The record is from RefSeq and is a predicted model, not a curated record.